AUUAUCCCAAGUAGCACGGGGCCCGAGAAAUCCCGUGUGAAUCUGUCAGGACCACCUGAUAAGCCUAAAUACUCCCAGAUGACCGAUAGCGGACAAGUACCGUGAGGGAAAGGUGAAAAGUACCCCGGGAGGGGAGUGAAAUAGAACCUGAAACCGGAUGCGUACAAGCAGUCAGAGCCCGCAAGGGUGAUGGCGUACCUUUUGUAUAAUGGGUCAGCGACUUAGUUUAUCUAGCAAGCUUAAGCCGUUAGGUGUAGGCGUAGCGAAAGCGAGUCUUAAUAGGGCGCAUGAGUUCGUGGGAUCAGACCCGAAACCGAGUGAUCUAGGCAUGGCCAGGUUGAAGGUAAGGUAACACUUACUGGAGGACCGAACCCACAUCCGUUGAAAAGGAUCGGGAUGAGCUGUGCCUAGGGGUGAAAGGCCAAUCAAACUCGGAUAUAGCUGGUUCUCCGCGAAAUCUAUUUAGGUAGAGC
RNAcentral lists this ribosomal RNA (473 nucleotides) under Ochromonas sp. CCMP1393. Its description in RNAcentral is "partial Bacterial large subunit ribosomal RNA". It matches the Rfam family "Bacterial large subunit ribosomal RNA", at positions 402 to 880 of the family's 2925-position model. Lineage: Eukaryota; Chrysophyceae; Chromulinales; Chromulinaceae. The record is from RNAcentral.